RNAcentral lists this ribosomal RNA (253 nucleotides) under uncultured bacterium. RNAcentral describes it as "partial 16S ribosomal RNA". It matches the Rfam family "Bacterial small subunit ribosomal RNA", at positions 524 to 776 of the family's 1533-position model. The record is from RNAcentral.
UACGGAGGGUGCAAGCGUUACUCGGAAUCACUGGGCGUAAAGAGCGCGUAGGCGGGAUAGCAAGUCAGAUGUGAAAUCCUAUGGCUUAACCAUAGAACUGCAUUUGAAACUGUUAUUCUAGAGUAUGGGAGAGGUAGGUGGAAUUCUUGGUGUAGCGGUGAAAUGCAUAGAUAUCACGCAGAACUCCGAUUGCGAAGGCAGCAUACCGGCGCGCAACUGACGCUCAUGCACGAAAGCGUGGGUAUCGAACAGG